This 478-nucleotide ribosomal RNA is filed under the name uncultured bacterium. Its description in RNAcentral is "partial 16S ribosomal RNA". It matches the Rfam family "Bacterial small subunit ribosomal RNA", at positions 28 to 523 of the family's 1533-position model. The record is from RNAcentral.
GACGAACGCUGGCGGCGUGCUUAACACAUGCAAGUCGAACGGAAAGGCCCUUCGGGGUACUCGAGAGGCUAACGGGUGAGUAACACGUUGGUGAUCUGCCCUGCAAUUUGGGAUAAGCCCGGGAAACUGCGUCCAAUACCGAAUAGGACCACGUGCUUCAAGGUGUGCGGUGGAAAGCUUGCUAGGUGUGGGAUGGGCCCGCGGCCUAUCAGCUUGUUGGUGGGGUGAUGGUCUACCAAGGCGACGACGGGUAGCAGGCCUGGGAGGGUGACCGGACACACUGGGACGGAGAUACGGCACAGACUCCUACGGGAGGCAGCAGUGGGGAAUAUUGCACAAUGGGAGCAAGCCUGAUGCAGCGACGCCGCGUGAGGGAUGACGGCCUUCGGGUUGUAAACCUCUUUCAAUAGGGACGAAGCGAAAGUGACGGUACCUAUAGAAGAAGCACCGGCCAACUACGUGCCAGCCGCCGCGGUAA